UGGGGAAUAUUGCACAAUGGGCGCAAGCCUGAUGCAGCGACGCCGCGUGAGGGAUGAAGGCCUUCGGGUUGUAAACCUCUUUCAGCAGGGAAGAAGCUCUUGAGUGACGGUACCUGCAGAAGAAGCGCCGGCUAACUACGUGCCAGCAGCCGCGGUAAUACGUAGGGCGCGAGCGUUGUCCGGCAUUAUUGGGCGUAAAGAGCUCGUAGGCGGCUUGUCGCGUCGGUUGUGAAAGCCCGGGGCUUAACUCCGGGUCUGCAGUCGAUACGGGCAGGCUAGAGUUCGGUAGGGGAGAUCGGAAUUCCUGGUGUAGCGGUGAAAUGCGCAGAUAUCAGGAGGGACACCGGUGGCGAAGGCGGAUCUCUGGGCCGAUACUGACGCUGAGGAGCGAAAGCGUGGGGAGCGAACAGG
This 411-nucleotide ribosomal RNA is filed under the name uncultured prokaryote. Its description in RNAcentral is "bacterial SSU rRNA". It matches the Rfam family "Bacterial small subunit ribosomal RNA", at positions 355 to 776 of the family's 1533-position model. RNAcentral also lists the same sequence under 1 other name. The record is from RNAcentral.